UACGGGGGGGGCAAGCGUUGUUCGGAAUUACUGGGCGUAAAGGGCUCGUAGGCGGCCAACUAAGUCGGACGUGAAAUCCCUCAGCUUAACCGAGGAACUGCGUCCGAUACUGGAUGGCUUGAGGUUGGGAGAGGGAUGCGGAAUUCCAGGUGUAGCGGUGAAAUGCGUAGAUAUCUGGAGGAACACCGGUGGCGAAGGCGGCAUCCUGGACCAAUUCUGACGCUGAGUGAGCGAAAGCCAGGGGAGCAAACGGG
This 254-nucleotide ribosomal RNA is filed under the name uncultured bacterium. Its description in RNAcentral is "partial 16S ribosomal RNA". It matches the Rfam family "Bacterial small subunit ribosomal RNA", at positions 524 to 776 of the family's 1533-position model. The record is from RNAcentral.